UACAGAGGUCCCAAGCGUUGUUCGGAUUCACUGGGCGUAAAGGGUGCGUAGGCGGUCGGGUAAGUCUGAUGUGAAAUCUCACAGCUUAACUGUGAAACUGCAUUGGAUACUAUCCGGCUAGAGGAAUGGAGGGGAGACUGGAAUACUUGGUGUAGCAGUGAAAUGCGUAGAUAUCAAGUGGAACACCAGUGGCGAAGGCGAGUCUCUGGACAUUUCCUGACGCUCAGGCACGAAAGCGUGGGGAGCAAAAGGG
RNAcentral lists this ribosomal RNA (253 nucleotides) under uncultured bacterium. RNAcentral describes it as "partial 16S ribosomal RNA". It matches the Rfam family "Bacterial small subunit ribosomal RNA", at positions 524 to 776 of the family's 1533-position model. The record is from RNAcentral.